UUCAACACCAGCCAUGUUUUGAUUUAAAAAUAUCAAAAAGUACACAACAAGAUAGUCACACAUCACUACUAGGUGAAAAGAAAUGUAAAGGCAAUUUAUUUUUCUUUGUUAUUAUACCGUAAUAGCAGGUAUCCAGGGUGGAGCUGUUGACCAAUCUUGCCGAAAUUGCACUUUUUUAAUUAAACAAAGGCAAGAAGGAAAAUGGUAAAGAAAAGCAGGAAGUCAUUGCCCCAUUACACCCUAACAUCAAGGAAGACCAAAAGAAAUUAGAGGUCAGGCCACAUGAGCAUGAACUAUGAGCAUAAUUUCAUCACCUAGAGCCUCUCCCAGCCAAACCACACCUGGACACAGCCUGUCAACUAGGGGUACUACAAGGGCCUCUUCAAAGUGAUACCUUUUUUGUUGAACUGGUUACUUUCUGUGUUUCUGUCAUGAUUGUUUCCUGAAUGCGAUUUGAAUAGUUUUCUCAGCAUUCUUUUGCACUUGGCUUUGCAGUGAAUCAUUAAACCUGCCAACUUGGCUCUGGGAUCUUCAGACUGUAUCAUUGCUACAUUCCUUAUAUAUCUCUUGUCUAUUCCUUAUAUAACUUAUUGUUCUGUAUUGGAUUUAAUGUGUUUUACCUUUUUCCUCUGUGAGGCCCUUGCUAGCCAUUAAGAUAAAUAACAGAAAUGAGCAUUGAAAGUUCUGCUCUGUAGGCUGGAGAGAAAAAAAUGCAGAUAUGGUUUAAAUAAAAUAUGUGUUGCUUAUGUAUGUGAUUUUUAUUAAGACAAGUAUGUCUUCAUUACACAGCUGGUAAUUUCUUCAUAUACCAAACUGAAUAAAAAGGUGACCUGGAUUGUUAA
Molecule: long non-coding RNA, 842 nt
Organism: Brienomyrus brachyistius
Lineage: Eukaryota; Metazoa; Chordata; Actinopteri; Osteoglossiformes; Mormyridae
Exons: 4
Source: RefSeq, a predicted model, not a curated record